GUUUCCGUAGGUGAACCUGCGGAAGGAUCAUUAAAGAGUAAGGGUGCUCAGCGCCCGACCUCCAACCCUUUGUUGUUAAAACUACCUUGUUGCUUUGGCGGGACCGCUCGGUCUCGAGCCGCUGGGGAUUCGUCCCAGGCGAGCGCCCGCCAGAGUUAAACCAAACUCUUGUUAUUUAACCGGUCGUCUGAGUUAAAAUUUUGAAUAAAUCAAAACUUUCAACAACGGAUCUCUUGGUUCUCGCAUCGAUGAAGAACGCAGCGAAAUGCGAUAAGUAAUGUGAAUUGCAGAAUUCAGUGAAUCAUCGAAUCUUUGAACGCACACUGCGCCCCUUGGUAUUCCGAGGGGCAUGCCUGUUCGAGCGUCAUUACACCACUCAAGCUAUGCUUGGUAUUGGGCGUCGUCCUUAGUUGGGCGCGCCUUAAAGACCUCGGCGAGGCCACUCCGGCUUUAGGCGUAGUAGAAUUUAUUCGAACGUCUGUCAAAGGAGAGGAACUCUGCCGACUGAAACCUUUAUUUUUCUAGGUUGACCUCGGAUCAGGUAGGGAUACCCGCUGACUA
Molecule: ribosomal RNA, 561 nt
Filed under: uncultured fungus
Lineage: Eukaryota; Fungi
Description: eukaryotic LSU rRNA
Rfam family: 5.8S ribosomal RNA (bases 214-367)
Source: RNAcentral